This 492-nucleotide ribosomal RNA is filed under the name uncultured bacterium. RNAcentral's name for it is "partial 16S ribosomal RNA". It matches the Rfam family "Bacterial small subunit ribosomal RNA", at positions 30 to 507 of the family's 1533-position model. The record is from RNAcentral.
AGUGAACGCUGGCGGUAGGCCUAACACAUGCAAGUCGAACGGCAGCACAGUAAGAGCUUGCUCUUACGGGUGGCGAGUGGCGGACGGGUGAGGAAUACAUCGGAAUCUACUUUUUCGUGGGGGAUAACGUAGGGAAACUUACGCUAAUACCGCAUACGACCUACGGGUGAAAGCAGGGGAUCUUCGGACCUUGCGCGAUUGAAUGAGCCGAUGUCGGAUUAGGUAGUUGGCGGGGUAAUGGCACACCAAGGCGACGAUCCGUAGCUGGUCGGAGAGGAUGGGCAGCGACACGGGAAAAGAGACACGGGCCAGACUCCGACGGGAGGCGGCAGUCGGGAAUCUUGAGAAAUGGCGGGAAGCCGUACGGAGCAGCGCCGCAUGAGUGAUAGAGGUCUUCGGAGCGGAAGACUCUGUUAUGCGACAAGAACAUAGGUGUAAGUAACUGUGCACAGCUGGACGGUAGCUAAUCAGAAAGGCACGGCUAACGACGGG